GAUGAAGAACGUAGCGAAAUGUGAUACUUGGUGUGAAUUGCAGAAUCCCGUGAACCAUCGAGUCUUUGAACGCAAGUUGCGCCCGAAGCCAUCAGGUUGAGGGCACGUCUGCCUGGGCGUCACAUAUCGUUGCCCAAUGCCUAUUGCAGUGCAAUAGGAAUUUCUAGGGCGAAUGAUGGCUUCCCGUGAGCGUUGUUGCCUCGCGGUUGGUUGAAAAUCGAGUCCUUGGUAGGGUGUGCCAUGGUAGAUGGUGGUCGAGUUAGAACGAUACCGAUCAUGUGCAUGCUCCCCAAAAUAUGGCCUCUAUGACCCACACGCGUCUUUUGACGCUCAUGACGAGACCUCAGGUCAGGCGGGGCUACCCGCUGAAUUUAAGCAUAUCAAUAAGCGAGGA
Molecule: unclassified non-coding RNA, 394 nt
Filed under: soil metagenome
Description: partial contains 5.8S ribosomal RNA, internal transcribed spacer 2, and large subunit ribosomal RNA
Rfam family: 5.8S ribosomal RNA (bases 1-122)
Source: RNAcentral